AACUUUCCAGAGAUGGAUUGGUGCCUUCGGGAACUGUGAGACAGGUGCUGCAUGGCUGUCGUCAGCUCGUGUUGUGAAAUGUUGGGUUAAGUCCCGCAACGAGCGCAACCCUUAUCCUUUGUUGCCAGCGGUCCGGCCGGGAACUCAAAGGAGACUGCCAGUGAUAAACUGGAGGAAGGUGGGGAUGACGUCAAGUCAUCAUGGCCCUUACGACCAGGGCUACACACGUGCUACAAUGGCGCAUACAAAGAGAAGCGACCUCGCGAGAGCAAGCGGACCUCAUAAAGUGCGUCGUAGUCCGGAUUGGAGUCUGCAACUCGACUCCAUGAAGUCGGAAUCGCUAGUAAUCGUGGAUCAGAAUGCCACGGUGAAUACGUUCCCGGGCCUUGUACACACCGCCCGUCACACCAUGGGAGUGGGUUGCAAAAGAAGUAGGUAGCUUAACCUUCGGGAGGGCGCUUACCACUUUGUGAUUCAUGACUGGGGUGAAGUCGUAACAAGGUAAGCGUAGCGAG
RNAcentral lists this ribosomal RNA (515 nucleotides) under uncultured bacterium. RNAcentral describes it as "bacterial SSU rRNA". It matches the Rfam family "Bacterial small subunit ribosomal RNA", at positions 994 to 1509 of the family's 1533-position model. The record is from RNAcentral.